This 477-nucleotide ribosomal RNA is filed under the name beta proteobacterium Z22. RNAcentral describes it as "bacterial SSU rRNA". It matches the Rfam family "Bacterial small subunit ribosomal RNA", at positions 395 to 863 of the family's 1533-position model. The record is from RNAcentral. Lineage: Bacteria; Pseudomonadati; Pseudomonadota; Betaproteobacteria.
UUCCGCGUGAGUGAAGAAGGCCUUCGGGUUGUAAAGCUCUUUCGCAAGGGAAGAAAACUUAUGAUCGAAUAAAUCAUGAGGUUGACGGUACCUUGAUAAGAAGCACCGGCUAACUACGUGCCAGCAGCCGCGGUAAUACGUAGGGUGCGAGCGUUAAUCGGAAUUACUGGGCGUAAAGCGUGCGCAGGCGGUUUUGUAAGUCGGAUGUGAAAUCCCCGGGCUCAACCUGGGAACUGCGUUCGAAACUGCAAGGCUAGAGUGUGUCAGAGGGGGGUAGAAUUCCACGUGUAGCAGUGAAAUGCGUAGAGAUGUGGAGGAAUACCAAUGGCGAAGGCAGCCCCCUGGGAUAACACUGACGCUCAUGCACGAAAGCGUGGGGAGCAAACAGGAUUAGAUACCCUGGUAGUCCACGCCCUAAACGAUGUCAACUAGUUGUUGGUAGAGUAAAAUCUAUGAGUAACGUAGCUAACGCGUGAA